AUAUAUUUCUCGAUCUUUUGGCUAAGAUAAAGUGUAAUUUAUUCUUACUAGUUUAAUAUAUGGUAAAUGGACCAUGUUCAAUUUGAUAUUUAAUUUAUUUAUUAUGGGUAUUUUUUGUGGGGGGGUCUACCUCACGGGGUUUAAUGGCCCUCGUGUGUCGCUCAAUCAUUGCACUGUUGGUGAGGUCUAGCCCACCCUAA
Non-coding RNA from Zea mays, 200 nucleotides. The record is from Rfam. NCBI's taxonomy places the organism in Eukaryota, Viridiplantae, Streptophyta, Magnoliopsida, Poales, Poaceae.